Molecule: ribosomal RNA, 21 nt
Filed under: uncultured fungus
Lineage: Eukaryota; Fungi
Description: partial 28S ribosomal RNA
Source: RNAcentral
UCGAUCUCAAAUCAGGUAGGA